CGGGAUGUAGUACAAUGGUAGUAUUCGCGGUUUGGGACCGCGUGACCCGAGUUCGAUUCUCGGCAUCCCGA
Molecule: transfer RNA, 71 nt
Filed under: Minisyncoccota bacterium
Lineage: Bacteria; Bacillati; Minisyncoccota
Description: tRNA-Pro
Rfam family: tRNA
About the family: Transfer RNA (tRNA) molecules are approximately 80 nucleotides in length. Their secondary structure includes four short double-helical elements and three loops (D, anti-codon, and T loops). Further hydrogen bonds mediate the characteristic L-shaped molecular structure. tRNAs have two regions of fundamental functional importance: the anti-codon, which is responsible for specific mRNA codon recognition, and the 3' end, to which the tRNAs corresponding amino acid is attached (by aminoacyl-tRNA synthetases). tRNAs cope with the degeneracy of the genetic code in two manners: having more than one tRNA (with a specific anti-codon) for a particular amino acid; and 'wobble' base-pairing, i.e. permitting non-standard base-pairing at the 3rd anti-codon position.
Source: RNAcentral